This 1044-nucleotide ribosomal RNA is filed under the name Setoseptoria arundinacea. RNAcentral's name for it is "SSU rRNA". It matches the Rfam family "Eukaryotic small subunit ribosomal RNA", at positions 58 to 1112 of the family's 1831-position model. Lineage: Eukaryota; Fungi; Ascomycota; Dothideomycetes; Pleosporales; Lentitheciaceae. The record is from RNAcentral.
UCUAAGUAUAAGCAAUUAUACCGUGAAACUGCGAAUGGCUCAUUAAAUCAGUUAUCGUUUAUUUGAUAGUACCUUACUACUUGGAUAACCGUGGUAAUUCUAGAGCUAAUACAUGCUGAAAACCCCGACUUCGGAAGGGGUGUAUUUAUUAGAUAAAAAACCAAUGCCCUUCGGGGCUCCUUGGUGAUUCAUAAUAACUUCUCAGAUCGCAUGGCCUUGCGCCGGCGACGGUUCAUUCAAAUUUCUGCCCUAUCAACUUUCGAUGGUAAGGUAUUGGCUUACCAUGGUUUCAACGGGUAACGGGGAAUUAGGGUUCGAUUCCGGAGAGGGAGCCUGAGAAACGGCUACCACAUCCAAGGAAGGCAGCAGGCGCGCAAAUUACCCAAUCCCGACACGGGGAGGUAGUGACAAUAAAUACUGAUACAGGGCUCUUUUGGGUCUUGUAAUUGGAAUGAGUACAAUUUAAACCUCUUAACGAGGAACAAUUGGAGGGCAAGUCUGGUGCCAGCAGCCGCGGUAAUUCCAGCUCCAAUAGCGUAUAUUAAAGUUGUUGCAGUUAAAAAGCUCGUAGUUGAACCUUUGGCCUGGCUGGCAGGUCCGCCUCACCGCGUGCACUUGUCCGGCCGGGCCUUCUCUUCUGGAGAACCGCAUGCCCUUCACUGGGUGUGUUGGGGACCAGGACUUUUACUUUGAAAAAAUUAGAGUGUUCAAAGCAGGCCUUUGCUCGAAUACGUUAGCAUGGAAUAAUAGAAUAGGACGUGCGGUCCUAUUUUGUUGGUUUCUAGGACCGCCGUAAUGAUUAAUAGGGACAGUCGGGGGCAUCAGUAUUCAAUUGUCAGAGGUGAAAUUCUUGGAUUUAUUGAAGACUAACUACUGCGAAAGCAUUUGCCAAGGAUGUUUUCAUUAAUCAGUGAACGAAAGUUAGGGGAUCGAAGACGAUCAGAUACCGUCGUAGUCUUAACCAUAAACUAUGCCGACUAGGGAUCGGGCGGUGUUAUUAUUUUGACUCGCUCGGCACCUUACGAGAAAUCAAAGUGUUUGGGU